GUAUGAAUGGCCACACGAGGGCUUUACUGUCUCUUACUUCCAUUCCGUGAAAUUGACCUUCCCGUGAAGAGGCGGGAAUAUGACAAUAAGACGAGAAGACCCUAUGGAGCUUUAAUUAACCGACCCAAAGAGAUCUUGAUAAUCAACCGACAGGGAUAACAUACCUCUACCAUGGGCCGACAAUUUAGGUUGGGGUGACCUCGGAGAAUAAAACAACCUCCGAGUGAUUUAAAUCUAGACUAACUAGUCGAAAGUACUACAUCACUUAUUGAUCCAAAAACUUGAUCAACGGAACAAGUUACCCUAGGGAUAACAGCGCAAUCCUAUUUUAGAGUCCAUAUCGACAAUAGGGUUUACGACCUCGAUGUUGGA
RNAcentral lists this ribosomal RNA (372 nucleotides) under Panthera onca (jaguar). Its description in RNAcentral is "partial large subunit ribosomal RNA". It matches the Rfam family "Bacterial large subunit ribosomal RNA", at positions 1990 to 2536 of the family's 2925-position model. Lineage: Eukaryota; Metazoa; Chordata; Mammalia; Carnivora; Felidae. The record is from RNAcentral.